UACGAAGGGGGCUAGCGUUGCUCGGAAUGACUGGGCGUAAAGGGCGCGUAGGCGGCUUGCACCGUCAGAUGUGAAAUUCCUGGGCUUAACCUGGGGGCUGCAUUUGAUACGUGUGGGCUUGAGUGCGGAAGAGGGUCGUGGAAUUCCCGGUGUAGAGGUGAAAUUCGUAGAUAUUGGGAAGAACACCAGUGGCGAAGGCGAGUCCCUGGACAGGUCCUGACGCUGAGGCACGAAAGCUAGGGGAGCAAACAGG
This 253-nucleotide ribosomal RNA is filed under the name uncultured bacterium. RNAcentral describes it as "partial 16S ribosomal RNA". It matches the Rfam family "Bacterial small subunit ribosomal RNA", at positions 524 to 776 of the family's 1533-position model. The record is from RNAcentral.